Molecule: ribosomal RNA, 117 nt
Filed under: Thermoleophilaceae bacterium
Lineage: Bacteria; Bacillati; Actinomycetota; Thermoleophilia; Thermoleophilales; Thermoleophilaceae
Source: RNAcentral
CUCGGUGGCACUAGCGAGAGGGAAACACCUCUUCCCAUUCCGAACAGAGCAGUUAAGCCUCUUUGCGCCGAUGGUACUUGGCCUGAAAGGGCCUGGGAGAGUAGGUCGCCGCCGGUU